Molecule: ribosomal RNA, 465 nt
Filed under: Diutina pseudorugosa
Lineage: Eukaryota; Fungi; Ascomycota; Pichiomycetes; Serinales; Debaryomycetaceae
Description: eukaryotic LSU rRNA
Rfam family: Eukaryotic large subunit ribosomal RNA
Source: RNAcentral
GGGAUUGCCUCAGUAACGGCGAGUGAAGCGGCAUCAGCUCAAAUUUGAAAGCCCUCGGGCGUUGUAAUUUGCAGGGGAAGUGCUUGGGGCGGGUGCUGUCUACGUUCCUUGGAACAGGACGCCGCAGAGGGUGAGAGCCCCGUGCGAUGGCACCUCUAACCGCAUAAGCCUUCUCCGACGAGUCGAGUUGUUUGGGAAUGCAGCUCAAAGUGGGUGGUAAAUUCCAUCUAAAGCUAAAUACUGGCGAGAGACCGAUAGCGAACAAGUACAGUGAUGGAAAGAUGAAAAGCACUUUGAAAAGAGAGUGAAACAGCACGUGAAAUUGUUGAAAGGGAAGGGUAUGCGAUUAGCGGCCAGCAGGAGGUGGUCUCUCGUGAAAAGGCCGGGCACCGUCCUCGGACACUGUGCGCGGAGAUGGCGAGGGGCCGCCUGAGGUCUGCGACUCUAGGUUGCUGGCGUAAUGAU